Molecule: non-coding RNA, 70 nt
Organism: Paramuricea clavata
Lineage: Eukaryota; Metazoa; Cnidaria; Anthozoa; Malacalcyonacea; Plexauridae
Source: the annotation of a GenBank genome assembly
UGGAAGUGAGGCUGAGGGGCCAAAGCGUAUGCCAUUACGCGUUUCCUUUGGCCCCUCAGCCUCACUUCCA